UGGUUGUAGCUAGACUAGCAGCAAUCU
Molecule: non-coding RNA, 27 nt
Filed under: Mus musculus (house mouse)
Lineage: Eukaryota; Metazoa; Chordata; Mammalia; Rodentia; Muridae
Source: RNAcentral